CGCGGCCUAUCAGCUUGUUGGUGGGGUGAUGGCCUACCAAGGCGACGACGGGUAGCCGGCCUGAGAGGGUGACCGGCCACACUGGGACUGAGAUACGGCCCAGACUCCCACGGGAGGCAGCAGUGGGGAAUAUUGCACAAUGGGCGCAAGCCUGAUGCAGCGACGCCGCGUGAGGGAUGACGGCCUUCGGGUUGUAAACCUCAUUCAAUAGGGACGAAGCGCAAGUGACGGUACCUAUAGAAGAAGGACCGGCCAAUUACGUGCCAGCAGCCGCGGUAAUACGUAGGGUCCGAGCGUUGUCCGGAAUUACUGGGCGUAAAGAGCUCGUAGGUGGUUUGUCGCGUUGUCCGUGAAAACUCACAGCUUAACUGUGGGCGUGCGGGCGAUACGGGCAGACUGGAGUACUGCAGGGGAGACUGGAAUUCCUGGUGUAGCGGUGGAAUGCGCAGAUAUCAGGAGGAACACCGGUGGCGAAGGCGGGUCUCUGGGCAGUAACUGACGCUGAGGAGCGAAAGCGUGGGGAGCGAACAGGAUUAGAUACCCUGGUAGUCCACGCCGUAAACGGUGGGUACUAGGUGUGGGUUUCCUUCAUUGGGAUCCGUGCCGUAGCUAACGCAUUAAGUACCCCGCCUGGGGAGUACGG
RNAcentral lists this ribosomal RNA (643 nucleotides) under Mycolicibacterium septicum. Its description in RNAcentral is "bacterial SSU rRNA". It matches the Rfam family "Bacterial small subunit ribosomal RNA", at positions 232 to 885 of the family's 1533-position model. The record is from RNAcentral. Lineage: Bacteria; Bacillati; Actinomycetota; Actinomycetes; Mycobacteriales; Mycobacteriaceae.